CUCCGAUGAUGACCCAGCCAUGCUAAUACCGAUACACCAGGGUGUAAGUGAGUUCAACUUCACUUCUCACACUGAUGGGA
This is a small nucleolar RNA of Lampris incognitus (smalleye Pacific opah), 80 nucleotides long. Lineage: Eukaryota; Metazoa; Chordata; Actinopteri; Lampriformes; Lampridae. The record is from RefSeq and is a predicted model, not a curated record.